CAGCCACCUCCUGUAGCUCGUUGAGCGCCCCACCCCAGAGGGCAAGCAAGAAAGAGCAAAGGAAGGAGAGCCCAAACAUUUUCAAUCUUUCAUUUCCGUUUCUUUUUUUCUUUUUUUCCCGCUCCAAAAUAAAAAAUCGUGUGUAGCUUCGUCGCCUGGACAUCAUCCAUUUCACAGGGCCAUGGUGGGGAUCCAGCCCGCUGAUUGCCUCGAGGGGCCUGGGCACCCAGCGGUCCACAUGCACUCAGGGCCUGCCCAGUUAGAGUCUCAUUCUGUCUCCCAGGCUGUAGCACAGUUGCCCAUAGCUCUUUGCAGCCUCAAACUAACUUGCCUUUGUAAUGCUGCUCCUGGUGUGAGCGAAGUCCACCACUGCUCUGUCAAGGCCAGAAGCUCCAGCAGAGGCUAGGAAAGUUGCGACUUAGCAAUGCAGUGUUUCCCAAAGUGUAUUCCAGAGAACACUAGUUGCACAAGAUGACAAAGUGGUUUAUUUACAAGUAAACAGAAAAAAUAAAUGAUCAUUUUUAACACUUAAAUUUGUUAAAACUUUGGUUUAAACAAGAUUAAAUAGGUCUGAUCCCUGAAGAAUGAUUCAGGACUUCCAAGACACUAAUGCCCCUGGUGAACCUCCAUGAAGAGAAUAAAAAGGGCGACACUCCUGAAAUUUAUUUUAUCAUAAUGUUUUGUUUGUUUGUUUCACAAAACAUCUUUAGAGAAAGAGUAUGAUGUGCUGCUUAAGAGCAAGCACUCUGGAUGAAGACACAUUUGGGCUGGGUGUGGUGGCACGUGCCUGUAGUCCCAGCUACUUGGGAGGCCAAGGUGUGAGGAUUGCUUGAGCCCAGAAGCUGGUGGCUGC
Long non-coding RNA from Sapajus apella (tufted capuchin), 853 nucleotides. RefSeq lists it as uncharacterized. Lineage: Eukaryota; Metazoa; Chordata; Mammalia; Primates; Cebidae. The transcript has 3 exons. The record is from RefSeq and is a predicted model, not a curated record.